CGCUAUCACUCCUACGGGGAGGCAGCAGUGGGGGAAUAUUGCACAAUGGGCGCAAGCCUGAUGCAGCCAUGCCGCGUGUAUGAAGAAGGCCUUCGGGUUGUAAAGUACUUUCAGCAGUGAGGAAGGCGGAGUCGUUAAUAGCGGCCUCGUUUGACGUUAGCUGCAGAAGAAGCACCGGCUAACUCCGUGCCAGCAGCCGCGGUAAUACGGAGGGUGCGAGCGUUAAUCGGAAUUACUGGGCGUAAAGCGCAUGCAGGUGGUUUGUUAAGUCAGAUGUGAAAGCCCGGGGCGUCAACCUCGGAAUUGCAUUUGUAAACUAGGCAGACUAGAGUACUGUAGAGGGGGGUAGGAAUUUCAGGUGUAGCGGUGAAAUGCGUAGAGAUCUGAAGGAAUACCGGUGGCGAAGGCGGCCCCCUGGACAGAUACUGACACUCAGAUGCGAAAGCGUGGGGAGCAAACAGGAUUAGAUACCCUGGUAG
This 479-nucleotide ribosomal RNA is filed under the name uncultured bacterium. RNAcentral's name for it is "bacterial SSU rRNA". It matches the Rfam family "Bacterial small subunit ribosomal RNA", at positions 328 to 793 of the family's 1533-position model. The record is from RNAcentral.